CAGGCUUAACACAUGCAAGUCGAGGGGCAGCAUGGUCUUAGCUUGCUAAGGCCGAUGGCGACCGGCGCACGGGUGAGUAACACGUAUCCAACCUGCCGUCUACUCUUGGACAGCCUUCUGAAAGGAAGAUUAAUACAAGAUGGCAUCAUGAGUCCGCAUGUUCACAUGAUUAAAGGUAUUCCGGUAGACGAUGGGGAUGCGUUCCAUUAGAUAGUAGGCGGGGUAACGGCCCACCUAGUCUUCGAUGGAUAGGGGUUCUGAGAGGAAGGUCCCCCACAUUGGAACUGAGACACGGUCCAAACUCCUACGGGAGGCAGCAGUGAGGAAUAUUGGUCAAUGGGCGAGAGCCUGAACCAGCCAAGUAGCGUGAAGGAUGACUGCCCUAUGGGUUGUAAACUUCUUUUAUAAAGGAAUAAAGUCGGGUAUGGAUACCCGUUUGCAUGUACUUUAUGAAUAAGGAUCGGCUAACUCCGUGCCAGCAGCCGCGGUAAUACGGAGGAUCCGAGCGUUAUCCGGAUUUAUUGGGUUUAAAGGGAGCGUAGAUGGAUGUUUAAGUCAGUUGUGAAAGUUUGCGGCUCAACCGUAAAAUUGCAGUUGAUACUGGAUAUCUUGAGUGCAGUUGAGGCAGGCGGAAUUCGUGGUGUAGCGGUGAAAUGCUUAGAUAUCACGAAGAACUCCGAUUGCGAAGGCAGCCUGCUAAGCUGCAACUGACAUUGAGGCUCGAAAGUGUGGGUAUCAAACAGGAUUAGAUACCCUGGUAGUCCACACGAUAAACGAUGAAUACUCGCUGUUUGCGAUAUACUGCAAGCGGCCAAGCGAAAGCGUUAAGUAUUCCACCUGGGGAGUACGCCGGCAACGGUGAAACUCAAAGGAAUUGACGGGGGCCCGCACAAGCGGAGGAACAUGUGGUUUAAUUCGAUGAUACGCGAGGAACCUUACCCGGGCUUAAAUUGCAGAUGAAUUACGGUGAAAGCCGUAAGCCGCAAGGCAUCUGUGAAGGUGCUGCAUGGUUGUCGUCAGCUCGUGCCGUGAGGUGUCGGCUUAAGUGCCAUAACGAGCGCAACCCUUGUUGUCAGUUACUAACAGGUUCCGCUGAGGACUCUGACAAGACUGCCAUCGUAAGAUGUGAGGAAGGUGGGGAUGACGUCAAAUCAGCACGGCCCUUACGUCCGGGGCUACACACGUGUUACAAUGGGGGGUACAGAGGGCCGCUACCACGCGAGUGGAUGCCAAUCCCCAAAACCUCUCUCAGUUCGGACUGGAGUCUGCAACCCGACUCCACGAAGCUGGAUUCGCUAGUAAUCGCGCAUCAGCCACGGCGCGGUGAAUACGUUCCCGGGCCUUGUACACACCGCCCGUCAAGCCAUGGGAGCCGGGGGUACCUGAAGUGCGUAACCGCGAGGAGCGCCCUAGGGUAAAACUGGUGACUGGGGCUAAGU
RNAcentral lists this ribosomal RNA (1439 nucleotides) under uncultured bacterium. RNAcentral's name for it is "16S ribosomal RNA". It matches the Rfam family "Bacterial small subunit ribosomal RNA". The record is from RNAcentral.